This 1151-nucleotide long non-coding RNA is filed under the name Equus caballus (horse). RNAcentral describes it as "lncRNA (ENSECAG00000047276.1)". The record is from RNAcentral. Lineage: Eukaryota; Metazoa; Chordata; Mammalia; Perissodactyla; Equidae.
CCACCUGAGGCGUUGUGAGUCCUGGCUGCUCCAGGAGGAAGGAGGGAAGCAGGAGAGCCGCUGGGAAGGUGCUAUAGUGACCCAGACGAGAGAAGAGGUGGGUCUGGUGCAGGGUGGUGGCUGUGGGGGCCAAGGCAGGGAGAAGAAGCUGGAUUCCGGAGGUGUUGGAAUGGCAGGGCCCAGGACUCGUUGGCACAGCGUCAUCUUACCUGCUUCCCUAGGAUUUUCGUUCGAUCCCAUGACCUAAAAGGCCGGCAAGACUCACAGGGGAGCCGGCUCUCGUGAUAUGGACCUUACCGGCCUGGUUACGCUGUCCUCAUCCCAGCACCCUCGAAUUCACUGAGAGGGAGUAUGUCCUCUGUCAAGAUAUGAGCGGUGGAGAAACACACCCCCCGCCCCUGCUUCCCACAGAAAGCCAGUCUCCCCAAAAGCCCGUCCCCACUUGGAUCCUUUUUUAUUACUCUCGGGAAAGUGGUGUGAAAAUUUGAUAAGGCAAGACAUCAAAGUUCUGGUGUAGUCAGAGAGGGCUCUCACUUGCUGAUAAUGUGCAGAUACGCCGGGUCCAAAAGCACUUUCUUACAGCUUCGGGGUUGCUGCUCAGUCCUGGAGUGCCGAAGCACCCACUGAGUCAGCUCGCUCCCAACCACUCCGCCUUCCAGAACAUCAUCACCGCAAAUCUGCUGUGCAAUGCUGAUUUCUGAGAUCAUCCCCCAGGUGAAAAUGAACCAUCCCUCGGGACUGGGGUGGGAUAGGACGUUGUCUCCACAACCACGGCAAUAAUGAUGGCCCAUGGCAGACACCUGGGCUCUCCCAGGUAGAUGGUCAUUUUCUUAGGAACACAGGUGUUCCAAGUGUGACAUGUGCGAAGGAUUCUCCUCUUGGUUCAGUCCUGCCACAAGAAUCUCAUUACCAGAUGUUGCCAUGUUUCCAACCUUUAAAUCUCUCCUUUGGAAUAUAGGAGCCUGGGUUUUGCCUCUAAAUAAAUGAGGCCCUCGGGGGCAUCCCAUGGGGAUGAGGAUGAAACAAGCCUGGCCAUGAGUUGGUAAUUGUCAUCGUUGAAUUGUGUGAUGGGUACACAGCAUGCACUAAACUAGUCUUUCUACUUUUUAUGUAUUUGAAAUUUUCUGUAAUAAAUUUUUAACCAUCCUUAG